AAAGUCGUAACAAGGUCUCCGUAGGUGAACCUGCGGAGGGAUCAUUACCGAGUUCGUGCCCUUCGGGGUAGACCUCCCACCCUGUGUUAUCACUACCUUUGUUGCUUUGGCGGGCCGUCAGGCCUCGGCCUGGCUACCGGCUUCCGCUGGUACGCGCCCGCCAGAGGACCCAAACCCUAAAUAUUAGUGUCGUCUGAGUACUAUAUAAUAGUUAAAACUUUCAACAACGGAUCUCUUGGUUCUG
RNAcentral lists this unclassified non-coding RNA (244 nucleotides) under Ascomycota sp. RNAcentral's name for it is "partial contains small subunit ribosomal RNA, internal transcribed spacer 1, and 5.8S ribosomal RNA". The stretch from base 1 to 47 matches the Rfam family "Eukaryotic small subunit ribosomal RNA", at positions 1785 to 1831 of the family's 1831-position model. Lineage: Eukaryota; Fungi; Ascomycota. The record is from RNAcentral.